This 346-nucleotide ribosomal RNA is filed under the name uncultured Pseudombrophila. RNAcentral describes it as "SSU rRNA". It matches the Rfam family "Eukaryotic small subunit ribosomal RNA", at positions 20 to 370 of the family's 1831-position model. The record is from RNAcentral. Lineage: Eukaryota; Fungi; Ascomycota; Pezizomycetes; Pezizales; Pyronemataceae.
GUAGUCAUAUGCUUGUCUCAAAGAUUAAGCCAUGCAUGUCUAAGUAUAAGCAAUAUAUACAGUGAAACUGCGAAUGGCUCAUUAAAUCAGUUAUCGUUUAUUUGAUAGUACCUUACUACUUGGAUAACCGUGGUAAUUCUAGAGCUAAUACGUGCUAACAAUCCCGACCUCUGGAAGGGAUGUAUUUAUUAGAUAAAAAACCAAUGUCUUCGGACUCAGUGGUGAUUCAUAAUAACUUUACGAAUCGCAUGGCCUUGAGCCGGCGAUGGAUCAUUCAAAUUUCUGCCCUAUCAACUUUCGAUGGUAGGAUAGUGGCCUACCAUGGUUUCAACGGGUAACGGGGAAU